AUUGAACGCUGGCGGCAUGCUUUACACAUGCAAGUCGAACGGCAGCACAGGGAGCUUGCUCCCGGGUGGCGAGUGGCGCACGGGUGAGUAAUACAUCGGAACGUGUCCUGUUGUGGGGGAUAACUGCUCGAAAGGGUGGCUAAUACCGCAUGAGACCUGAGGGUGAAAGCGGGGGAUCGCAAGACCUCGCGCAAUUGGAGCGGCCGAUGCCCGAUUAGCUAGUUGGUGAGGUAAAGGCUCACCAAGGCGACGAUCGGUAGCUGGUCUGAGAGGACGACCAGCCACACUGGGACUGAGACACGGCCCAGACUCCUACGGGAGGCAGCAGUGGGGAAUUUUGGACAAUGGGGGGCAACCCUGAUCCAGCCAUGCCGCGUGCAGGAUGAAGGCCUUCGGGUUGUAAACUGCUUUUGUCAGGGACGAAAAGGACCGUGUUAAUACCAUGGUCUGCUGACGGUACCUGAAGAAUAAG
This 472-nucleotide ribosomal RNA is filed under the name uncultured bacterium. RNAcentral's name for it is "bacterial SSU rRNA". It matches the Rfam family "Bacterial small subunit ribosomal RNA", at positions 30 to 490 of the family's 1533-position model. The record is from RNAcentral.